CGUUCAGAGAUUGCCUCUGUCGUUAUCCACUCCAGUGGAUACGGGAAUGCAGUUGUUAA
This 59-nucleotide non-coding RNA is filed under the name unclassified sequences. RNAcentral's name for it is "Transposase-1 RNA". It matches the Rfam family "Transposase-1 RNA". From Rfam's summary of the family: Lactobacillales (Firmicutes). Environment (Human Microbiome Project, vagina) The record is from Rfam by way of RNAcentral.